AUCCAGCUGACGAGUUCCAAUUAGGACGAAACACGAGUCCUAGAU
Molecule: non-coding RNA, 45 nt
Organism: Schistosoma mattheei
Lineage: Eukaryota; Metazoa; Platyhelminthes; Trematoda; Strigeidida; Schistosomatidae
Source: Rfam